AAAAUAAUAGUUUGGGCCGAGUAUAGAAUCAUUCUCGGCCCGGAAGGCCUGGCGACAAGAAUACCAUGGAUCGUUCAGUACGUGGGUCUCCAAACCUAGGUCGGCUAGGUCAUAACGCAAGAAGUCGAGUCCUAGUGCAAUGAGGAGUCUCGGCAGGACCCGGAAACGAAUCCGGCUCGGUUAAGGACUAGGUUCACAGUCCUAGUGAAAGUAGGACUGGUCGAGUUGGUGCUGAUCAGGAGAAGAAGACCUAGUCCGAGUAGGUUUUUAACUCGACCUUGGGGGGAGUCGUUGCUAUAAAUAGAAGAGGCUGCGCAUCAUUCA
RNAcentral lists this long non-coding RNA (324 nucleotides) under Malus domestica (apple). RNAcentral's name for it is "long non-coding RNA (MDOM_LNC005873)". The record is from RNAcentral. Lineage: Eukaryota; Viridiplantae; Streptophyta; Magnoliopsida; Rosales; Rosaceae.